This 240-nucleotide unclassified non-coding RNA is filed under the name soil metagenome. Its description in RNAcentral is "partial contains 5.8S ribosomal RNA, internal transcribed spacer 2, and large subunit ribosomal RNA". The record is from RNAcentral.
AACGCACGAGACCUGCGGACCUGCGGAAGGAUCAUUAUUGAUUUUAACAGGAUGUGCUGGCUCUCAAGGGGGCAAUGUGCACUCCUAAUAAAACCAAUAUCCACCUGUGCACCUUAAGUAGACUAGUAGGACUCAUCACAGUCUUUCCAGUCUAUGUUCCUUCACAAACUUUUUUUGAAAUGUAAAUGAAUGAUCAUAUGUAUAAUUAAUAACAACUUUUAGCAACGGAUCUCUAGAUCG